This 376-nucleotide ribosomal RNA is filed under the name uncultured organism. Its description in RNAcentral is "partial 16S ribosomal RNA". It matches the Rfam family "Bacterial small subunit ribosomal RNA", at positions 527 to 896 of the family's 1533-position model. The record is from RNAcentral.
GGAGGGGGCAAGCGUUGUUCGGAAUUAUUGGGCGUAAAGGGCGCGUAGGCGGCCUUGUAAGUCGGUUGUGAAAUCCCUUGGCUCAACCAAGGAACUGCAACCGAAACUGCAGGGCUCGAGUCCGGGAGAGGGUAGUGGAAUUCCCAGUGUAGCGGUGAAAUGCGUAGAUAUUGGGAGGAACACCGGUGGCGAAGGCGGCUACCUGGACCGGUACUGACGCUGAGGCGCGAAAGCUAGGGGAGCAAACAGGAUUAGAUACCCUGGGUAGUCCUAGCUGUAAACGAUGAGCACUUGGUGCAGCGGGUAUUGACCCCCCUGCUGUGCCCGUAGCUAACGCGUUAAGUGCUCCGCCUGGGGGAGUACGGUCGCAAGGCUG